GAUGGGUGUUUGUUUCUUUUGCCAAAUGGUCAUGGUCUUCCAUCUUUGAUGCAUGACAGCAGCAGCAACAAUACACUACCUUUCCUUUCAGAGAUGUGUUGGUAAUGAUCAUUUGUAACUUAGGAUCCGGUAGGUGCAAGAACUUGGUGAUUGUUUUUGGCAGAAUCGUGUGACUGGACUUGGAAGAGUUUUUGGCAGCUUGGUUUUUGCCCAAUUGUGCAGCUUGUGGAUUAUGUAUGACGGUUUUGUGUGCAGUAGCUUGUUGUGUUGUGGAGAUGCUGUUGUGCAACUUGUGUAGAUUAUGUAUGAUGGUUGUGUCCAGUUGUGGAGAUGCUGUUUGUGUAGAUUAUGUAUGACGGUUUUGUUUGCAGCAGCUUGUGCUGUGGAGAUGCUAUAGUGUAGUUUGUGUAGAUGAUGUAUAGCAUGUGUGCAUCCACAUGGGAGUGUUGUGGAGACCCUGCUUUGUAGCUUGUGUAGAUUAUGUAUUUCCACUGUAGUGAAGAAGGUUACAGAUUAUGUAUAUGAACUUAAUUAAGAGAAUCUCAUUGUUAUUUAUAAAAAUAAUUAAUGCA
Carya illinoinensis is the source of this 572-nucleotide long non-coding RNA. RefSeq lists it as uncharacterized. Lineage: Eukaryota; Viridiplantae; Streptophyta; Magnoliopsida; Fagales; Juglandaceae. The record is from RefSeq and is a predicted model, not a curated record. The transcript is spliced from 2 exons.